Molecule: RNA transcript, 2462 nt
Organism: Pteronotus mesoamericanus
Lineage: Eukaryota; Metazoa; Chordata; Mammalia; Chiroptera; Mormoopidae
Gene: PIGC
Gene name: phosphatidylinositol glycan anchor biosynthesis class C
Exons: 2
Source: RefSeq, a predicted model, not a curated record
CCGAGCAGCAGUCAGUGUUUCGGGGCCUCCCUCCCGGCUGGGCGGGGGGCAGCGGCGGGCGUCCUGGGGAUACCUUCCCGGCCCCAGCGCUGUUCCCGACCGGUGGGCGGGCGCUGCCCUCGGGUGCGUGGAUGCUCCCGCCCCGGUGGUGCCCGGCCAGAGUCACUGCUGCGGUUAGGGCCAUCGGAUCGCCACACCUGUCGAGGUUUCAGCGCGACAAGUGAGGUCGGGCAGUAGGCGUCCUUCUCACAGUGGCGGGCACGUCUGAUUCCUAGUUUUCCCAUUGUGACAACCGGGUCACUCUCUCUGAUCCCCACAAGACUUUCGCCGGUGUAAGUGGGAGGAUAGCUCUUCGGAGGACAGUAACCUCAGUUAAAGGAGGAAGGAUCUUUCCUUUCUGGAUCCUUGGUUUUGGCUAAAUCAACCGUAGAGCUCACAUUUAUUUCUAUGGUGCAGUUUACUGCUGUCUUCAGACCUCUUUAGUAACAGACGUCUUUGAGAACCCAGUGAAAGCUCUGUGUCCUGUGCCUAGACACUGGCAUAAGUGGCAGCGACAAGCACGCAGUGACAGGGUUUGGACACACUCCGAGCCCAUCCACAGACCUCAGGGGUGUGAACCCUGAGUUAAGAGCUGGUUGGUGGGAGGCGCAGGCUUUGGGUCAGAUUUUGCACGUGGCUCUUGCCCUUUAUCACUGUUAACUUGGGCGAAAGUCACCUGAGCAAUUCAGGUCUCAGCUUUUUUAUUAAAGUGGGACUAAACUAAUUUGCAGGGCUGUGCAGGUGCAACGAAAGAAGCUAGGUAAGGCACUUAGCACAUCCUGGGCCCUCAACCAGGGACAGCGACAGAUGUCCACUGUUGGCCGAGGGGCGGUCAUUUAAAAUCUGAAAGGAAGUUCCAAAGUCCAUGAUUAGAACAGGACCACCAUAUACAUUUUGCCCAGGCAUUUCAUAAAGUGAGUUGGUUGGAUUUUAACUCAACCCAACCCUUGACCUUCACACGUUUUUUAGGUUCCUGGUGUGUCUUUUUCUAGGAACUUGCGUCUCGUAGGCCUUGCCUGGGUGGCUGCUCUGAAAACGAGGGAAGGCUGGCCCCAUAUCAGCCGCCACACAGCAUGGCAUUUCCAGAGGGGCCUUCUUUCGAAACGUGGUAAAGGACGGAAACCACAUGGACUUUGGCCUGGGAGGCUGACCUGGCCUGAGUCCCAGGGCAGGGGCGAUGAGCGCCGGGCCCGGAACUGACUCCACGGGGGUCAGGUGGCAGAAGGUCCUGUAUGAGCGACAGCCCUUUCCCGACAACUACGUGGACCAGCGCUUCCUGGAGGAGCUGCGGAAGAACACCCACGCGCGGAAGUACCAGUACUGGGCCGUGGUGUUUGAGUCCAGCGUGGUGGUGCAGCAGCUGUGCAGUGUCUGUGUUUUUGGGGUCAUCUGGUGGUACAUGGACGAGGGUCUUCUGGCCCCCCACUGGCUUUUUGGGACGGGCCUGGCUCUGUCACUGAUGGGCUAUGUCCUGUUCGACCUCGUGGACGGAGGGGAAGGCCGCAGGAAGAGCGGGCGGACCCGCUGGGCCGACCUGAAGAGCGCCCUGGUCUUCAUUACGUUCACCUACGGGUUUUCGCCCGUGCUCAAGACGCUCACCGAGUCCGUCAGCACUGACACCAUCUACGCCAUGUCCGUCUUCAUGCUCCUGGGCCACCUCAUCUUCUUCGACUACGGGGCCAACGCUGCCAUUGUGUCCAGCACCCUGUCCUUGAACAUGGCCAUCUUUGCCUCUGUGUGCCUGGCCUCGCGCCUGCCCCGCUCCCUGCACGCCUUCAUCAUGGUGACGUUCGCCAUCCAGAUUUUCGCCCUGUGGCCCAUGCUGCAGAAGAAGCUGAAGGCGUGCACGCCGCGCAGCUACGUCGGGGUCACGCUGCUCUUCGCGGGCUCAGCCUUGGGCGGCCUGCUCUCCGUCAGCGCCGUGGGGGCCACCCUCUUCGCGCUGCUGCUGGUGUCCGUCUCCUGCCUGUGCCCUUUCUACCUCAUUCGCCUGCAGCUUUUUAAAGAAAACAUCCACGGGCCCUGGGAUGAGGCUGAGAUCAAGGAAGACCUGUCCCGGUUCCUCAGCUGAGUCAGGGACCGCCCUUCAGUGACUCAGGCCAGCGACAGACCAGCCCGGGCGCCGGGACUCGGCUGGAAGCGGUUCCCUCCUGGAAGCAGCAGGCCCGCGUGGGCGGGGGAGCGCGAUCGAGAGCAGCUGCGAACCGAGGGCUGCGGCGGCGGCGGCGGCGCUUACCCCGUCUGCGUGGUGGCUGGGACAGCGCUCGGGGGCCCUCAGGGAUGACGGCCCGCACGUAGUGCUCACUGACCCGCCUAGGACCCUGGAUGCCAUGUCCGGUUUUGUUGCCUAAAACUACAGAAUUAGCCGCUUAACCUUGACUCAGAGCCUCUGCCUCAUUCUUAGUGAAGCAUGUAUGUGUCCU